GGGCCAGUGGCACAAUGGGCAAUGCGCAUGACUACGGAUCAGGAUAUUGCAGGUUCAACUCCUGCCUGGCUCA
This 73-nucleotide transfer RNA is filed under the name Patagioenas fasciata monilis. It matches the Rfam family "tRNA". From Rfam's summary of the family: Transfer RNA (tRNA) molecules are approximately 80 nucleotides in length. Their secondary structure includes four short double-helical elements and three loops (D, anti-codon, and T loops). Lineage: Eukaryota; Metazoa; Chordata; Aves; Columbiformes; Columbidae. The record is from Rfam by way of RNAcentral.